GAGUCAUUUGCCGACCGUGUUUUUGGACAGGAGCACAACACAUUCCAUCCAACCCUGUAGGCUACUUUCCCUAAUCAUGUGUCUCUAUAUAGUCGCCGACACCGGAAACAGCUGUGUAUCCUAUUAUUCCUAGCACUUGGAUAACUAAGUUUUGGCAUUUUAAAGGUGGAUCAGUGUAAUAGUCUAUAUAAAAAAAUCUGUAUGAAAAAACACAUUUUUCACAACAACCGGCUGGAUGAUGCUGUGCAUGUGUGCGUAAAGUCUACAUUUUCUUCUGAACUUGGCGAUAAACGUCAGCUAUUCAAGUCGUCUGAGGUCAGAGGUCACCAGUCUUUGGUAGUUGUUACCAUGAAUGGAUCUGUGACAGCGGGAGAUCCUCUCCUGUGUGUGUGUGUCAAGGCGAUACAGGGAGGACUGUUAACCAUGUGCUACAGUGGCUAGGGUUCCCCAUCAUUCCCAGGGCCUCCCAUCACUGUCUUUCUGUCUGUGGUGCCACCCAUCACUGGCUGAGGAGGAGAGGGCCUCCCAUCACUGGCAGAGGAGGAGAGGGCCUCCCAUCACUGGCAGAGGAAGGAGAGGGCCACCCAUCACUGGCUGAGGAGGAGAGGGCCACCCAUCACUGGCUGAGGAGGAGAGGGCCACCCAUCACUGGCUGAGGAGGAGAGGGCCACCCAUCACUGGCUGAGGAGGAGAGGGCCACCCAUCACUGGCUGAGGAGGAGAGGGCCACCCAUCACUGGCUGAGGAGGAGAGGGCCACCCAUCACUGGCUGAGGAGGAGGAGGGCC
Oncorhynchus tshawytscha (Chinook salmon) is the source of this 786-nucleotide long non-coding RNA. Lineage: Eukaryota; Metazoa; Chordata; Actinopteri; Salmoniformes; Salmonidae. The record is from Ensembl.